RNAcentral lists this long non-coding RNA (453 nucleotides) under Takifugu rubripes (torafugu). RNAcentral's name for it is "lncRNA (ENSTRUG00000029880.1)". Lineage: Eukaryota; Metazoa; Chordata; Actinopteri; Tetraodontiformes; Tetraodontidae. The record is from RNAcentral.
ACCAGGCCAGCGACCCUGCCGACGACUCUCAGUCCUUUCCUCUCCACACCCGGGGAUGAGCCGGGCUCUCUCAGCUUACAUUUGGACUGUUGACAGAUCGAAGCUCAAACAGCUGGAUGACGACUGCACGGCUGUUUCACAUCUGGAGGACGCCUUCAGCUGCAAGGGACAGACAACCGCUGCUUAAUAUCAGGUGGACACCAGGAGAACCGACCAGUUCUGGUCUCCUGGUGCUGGAAACAAUCACGUGUGGAGCUUCGGUGCGUCAGCGGAGGAAGAACCUACAUUAAACACCAGAGGAAGAUGAUGAAGUUUGCCUGAUAUUCACUGAGACAAAAUGGAAAAAUAAACAAAGCUGUGCUGAAAGACAUAGCUACGCAGUGCUAACGCUAAUGAUGCGCACGUCUCGAAGCAUAGCAGAUAUAACUAAGGCAUAAACUGGAGGAAAAUGAA